Molecule: ribosomal RNA, 407 nt
Filed under: uncultured bacterium
Lineage: Bacteria
Description: partial 16S ribosomal RNA
Rfam family: Bacterial small subunit ribosomal RNA
Source: RNAcentral
AUUGAACGCUGGCGGCAGGCCUAACACAUGCAAGUCGAGCGGAGUGGCGGACGGGUGAGUAAUGCCUAGGAACCUGCCCGGUAGUGGGGGAUAACUUCCGGAAACGGGCGCUAAUACCGCAUACUAUUAGAUGAGCCUAGGGCGGAUUGGCUCGUUGGUGGGGUAACGGCCUACAAGGGCGACGAUCCGUAACUGGUUUGAGAGGAUGAUCAGUCACACUGGAACUGAGACACGGUCCAGCCGCCUACGGGAGGCAGCAGGGGGGAAUAGUGGACAAUGGGCGAAAGCCUGAUCCAGCCAUGCCGCGUGUGUGAGGAAGGUCUUCGGGUUGUAAAGCACUUUAAGUUGGGAGGCGUUACCUGCAGAAUAAGCACCGGCUAACUACGUGCCAGCAGCCGCGGUAAUUC